RNAcentral lists this ribosomal RNA (490 nucleotides) under uncultured bacterium. RNAcentral describes it as "partial 16S ribosomal RNA". It matches the Rfam family "Bacterial small subunit ribosomal RNA", at positions 30 to 507 of the family's 1533-position model. The record is from RNAcentral.
AUUGAACGCUGGCGGCAUGCCUUACACAUGCAAGUCGAACGGCAGCAUGAUCUAGCUUGCUAGAUUGAUGGCGAGUGGCGAACGGGUGAGUAAUACAUCGGAACGUGCCCUGUAGUGGGGGAUAACUAGUCGAAAGAUUAGCUAAUACCGCAUACGACCUGAGGGUGAAAGUGGGGGACCGCAAGGCCUCAUGCUAUAGGAGCGGCCGAUGUCUGAUUAGCUAGUUGGUGAGGUAAAGGCUCACCAAGGCGACGAUCAGUAGCUGGUCUGAGAGGACGAUCAGCCACACGGGGACUGAGACACGGCCCAGACUCCUACGGGAGGAAGCAGUGGGGAAUUUUGGACAAUGGGCGAAAGCCUGAUCCAGCAAUGCCGCGUGUGUGAAGAAGGCCUUCGGGUUGUAAAGCACUUUUGUCCGGAAAGAAAUGGCUCUGGUUAAUACCUGGGGUCGAUGACGGUACCGGAAGAAUAAGGACCGGCUAACUACGUG